CCAAUAGCGUAUAUUAAAGUUGUUGCAGUUAAAAAGCUCGUAGUUGAAUUUCAGGCCUGGCUGGACGGUCCGCCCUUCGGGUGAGUACUGUCUGUGGUCGGGUCCUACCUUCUGGCGAAGCGUCAUGGCCUUAACCGGCCGUGGCGGGGAACCAGGACUUUUACUGUGAAAAAAUUAGAGUGUUCAAAGCAGGCAAAUCGCUUGGAUACAUUAGCAUGGAAUAAUGGAAUAGGACAAUGGUUCUAUUUGUUGGUUUCUAGGACCGUUGUAAUGAUUAAUAGGGAUAGUUGGGGGCAUUAGUAUUCAAUUGUCAGAGGUGAAAUUCUUGGAUUUAUUGAAGACUAACUACUGCGAAAGCAUUUGCCAAGGAUGUUUUCAUUAAUCAAGAACGAAAGUUAGGGGAUCGAAGACGAUCAGAUACCGUCGUAGUCUUAACCAUAAACUAUGCCGACUAGGAAUCGGGCGAUGUUGAAAAAAUGACGCGCUCGGCACCUCAUG
This 498-nucleotide unclassified non-coding RNA is filed under the name uncultured Paraglomus. RNAcentral describes it as "SSU rRNA". It matches the Rfam family "Eukaryotic small subunit ribosomal RNA", at positions 591 to 1092 of the family's 1831-position model. Lineage: Eukaryota; Fungi; Glomeromycota; Glomeromycetes; Paraglomerales; Paraglomeraceae. The record is from RNAcentral.